UGGAGAGUUUGAUCCUGGCUCAGAUUGAACGCUGGCGGCAUGCCUWACACAUGCAAGUCGAACGGCAGCAUGAUCUAGCUUGCUAGAUUGAUGGCGAGUGGCGAACGGGUGAGUAAUACAUCGGAACGUGCCCUGUAGUGGGGGAUAACUAGUCGAAAGAUUAGCUAAUACCGCAUACGACCUGAGGGUGAAAGUGGGGGACCGCAAGGCCUCAUGCUAUAGGAGCGGCCGAUGUCUGAUUAGCUAGUUGGUGAGGUAAAGGCUCACCAAGGSGASGAUCAGUAGCUGGUCUGAGAGGACGAUCAGCCACACUGGGACUGAGACACGGCCCAGAUUCUUACGGGAGGCAGCAGUGGGGAAUUUUGGACAAUGGGGGCAACCCUGAUCCAGCAAUGCCGCGUGUGUGAAGAAGGCCUUCGGGUUGUAAAGCACUUUUGUCCGGAAAGAAAUCGCACUUACUAAUAUUAGGUGUGGAUGACGGUACCGGAAGAAUAAGGACCGGCUAANUACGUGCCAGCAGCCGCGGUAAUACGUAGGGUCCAAGCGUUAAUCGGAAUUACUGGGCGUAAAGCGCACGCAGGA
RNAcentral lists this ribosomal RNA (582 nucleotides) under uncultured bacterium OSW1. Its description in RNAcentral is "bacterial SSU rRNA". It matches the Rfam family "Bacterial small subunit ribosomal RNA", at positions 1 to 576 of the family's 1533-position model. The record is from RNAcentral.